UUGAACGCUGGCGGCAGGCCUAACACAUGCAUGUCGAGCGGAUGAAGGGAGCUUGCUCCUGGAUUCAGCGGCGGACGGGUGAGUAAUGCCUAGGAAUCUGCCUGGUCGUGGGGGAUAACGUCCGGAAACGGGCGCUAAUACCGCAUACGUCCUGAGGGAGAAAGUGGGGGAUCUUCGGACCUCACGCUAUCAGAUGAGCCUAGGUCGGAUUAGCUAGUUGGUGGGGUAAAGGCCUACCAAGGCGACGAUCCGUAACUGGUCUGAGAGGAUGAUCAGUCACACUGGAACUGAGACACGGUCCAGACUCCUACGGGAGGCAGCAGUGGGGAAUAUUGGACAAUGGGCGAAAGCCUGAUCCAGCCAUGCCGCGUGUGUGAAGAAGGUCUUCGGAUUGUAAAGCACUUUAAGUUGGGAGGAAGGGCAGUAAGUUAAUACCUUGCUGUUUUGACGUUACCAACAGAAUAAGCACCGGCUAACUUCGUG
This 483-nucleotide ribosomal RNA is filed under the name uncultured bacterium. RNAcentral describes it as "partial 16S ribosomal RNA". It matches the Rfam family "Bacterial small subunit ribosomal RNA", at positions 30 to 507 of the family's 1533-position model. The record is from RNAcentral.